GUGCUCUCGUUGCAGCACAUAUACUAAAAUUGGAAUGAUAUAGAGGAAAUUAGCUAGGCCCUGCACAAGGAUGAAAUGCAAAUUCAUGAAGUGUUCCAUAUUUUG
Small nuclear RNA from Hyaena hyaena (striped hyena), 105 nucleotides. Lineage: Eukaryota; Metazoa; Chordata; Mammalia; Carnivora; Hyaenidae. The record is from RefSeq and is a predicted model, not a curated record.